Molecule: long non-coding RNA, 1822 nt
Organism: Neocloeon triangulifer
Lineage: Eukaryota; Metazoa; Arthropoda; Insecta; Ephemeroptera; Baetidae
Exons: 3
Source: RefSeq, a predicted model, not a curated record
UAUUUUGCAUGCGUAUUAAUAUUUUUUUUUCGAAGUCUUUUGGAAAAAAUUCAUAUCAUAUUCUAAUGUUCUAAAUUUCUGAUUUUUCCCCCUCAGAUUUUGCUUCACGCGCACAUGUUAAGAAAUUUUUACUUUCUAGCAAAUAAUUCUACAUUGAGGAAACAUUUAAAUUAUAUUCUAUAAUCUAAAUUUUUAAAUACGCAAAGCUUCUUUAUUUAAUACAAAAUUAGUUUAAAAAAUUAAUAUUAUUUUUUUAUGAGCGCGUUUAAAUGUUUGAUACAAGAAUGUUUAGUUAUAGUUCAUCUUUUUAAUCGAAUUUUAUUUUUAUUGGAACAUUGUCAACAAUUCAAAUCUCAUCUUUCGCGCCUUGAACUUCUUUCAAACGUAAACAUUUCUCAGGCAAACCAUGCGCAGUUGUAUGAAUUUGGUUCUGCGCACACUUCACCAACUAUUCGGCUCGCGCCUCUCGCGCCGCGGCUCGACCGUGGCUCACUUUUCAAACAAAAUAACCGUCGUUGUUUUGAUUUGGUGUGGAUGCCGGGUUUUGUGACUGAUCGCAGAGUUUUGCCGUUUUUUCCGGAAUAAUGGUCAAGAUACGGUUGGAAAGUGAAGCCAAAGCGUCCUGGGAUUGGCAAACGUUCAAAGUACGGUGGAAAUUCGGGUGAAUUGACUUUAAUAACGCGCUCGAUAUGGAGGAAUUCGACUUGCAGCCCGCGUCCGGUCACUUCGUGAACGACCCAAGCCAAGCUACUGCCGCCCAGACAGGGACUGGGCCCUGGAUUACAAAUCAACCUCCGCUCCAAAUUAAUUUCAAAUCAGAUCCGAGUUCAGAGUCCUGAAUUAAUUCAACAACUCGAUUACUUCAAAGACGGACGGGAAUAUUCGAUAAUAAACUUGAUUCACAAGAAGCCUAACGAGAGGACCGGAUUGCUCUGAUCGUUUUAACUUUUGAGAUUGGGGAAAAGAGCCAUCGAAGAGAAAAAUGUCACAUUCCUCUGAGUUUGAUGGUGAGAACCGUGGACUUAAUUUUUCAAAAGUUGAUUUUAAGGUUGAAAUAUAUUUGAUUAAAUUAUGCUUUUAUUAACUUGUGAUUUAAAUAUUUGGAUAAUAAAAAAUUGGUUUAACUUCAAUGUUGAAAUUUUUAAUAAAAUUAAAUAAUAUCUCUACUGGUUUAAAUUUUAAUAAAUCAAUAAGGAUGUUUGAAAUAUGGAUUAUAUAAUGUAGCAAAGUUGAUUAUAUGUUCAAUACAAGGAAUGCAACACUUAUUGCUUAAUUAUCUCAAUUUAAAAAUUAUGUCGUACGUAAUAAUGAUAAUUUGCAACUGCUGUAAUAAGGAACUGCUGAGAAAAAGAUUAAUAUUUUACAUGUUAUUUACUAUUAUGAUUUGUGAUUGUACUUAUUGUAUUUUAUUUUAUUGUAUUUUUAUGUUGUUAUGAAAUAAAGACCAUUAUUUUACUAAUAAAAAAUGUGAGCUGAUUUAAAUUUAUGCAACCCGCAAAGAGAAUAAACUUGGCAAUAAACUAAAAUAAGGGGAGGUAAGCUUUGACACAAACUAGGGAAUAAACAAGAAGAUCACAAAGGGGAGGGUGGACAUAAACUGGGGUACAAACCAUGGCAUAAACUAGGGAAUAAACUUGGCCACAAACAUCCUCGUCUAGAAGCUGGAAUAAACAUGGAAAUAAACGAGUGCCAAAUUCCUACCCUGUUUGUGACAACAGUUUAUUCCAUGUUUUUUUCCCUGUUUCUGACAAGUUUUUGCCUCAAAAAUGUUAUGGGGGCUUCCAAAGAUUUUCCUUUCUUGAAACCCUUAUGCUAAAAAAUU